UAGCUCCAAGAUCUUUUUUCUUUUCUUUGGGUCGAAUAAAUAUAGAAUUUCAAUGAAGAAAAGCAAUCAGCCCCUAAGGGCAAGUACAUAGUUUAUUUGGAAAAUUGGAUUACAGUAAAAGGAGGUAUAAUGUAAGGUUUUCCCCGCUAGAGAAAGAGCAAAACCAUUACAAGAUCUCUUUACAUGACUACAAUUAAUAACAUGGAACUCACUUCAAUCACCCCUUGAAUCUGUAGUAGCGGGGGACUCCCUUGGAUGACAAUAAGCACAUCCCCUUCAAUGCUGACUUUUUCUUAGCUAGAAGAAGGGCCUCCCUCGCAUGCAAGUGCUUCCACCACAAAAGGAUCAGUUAUUGCUUUGAGGUGUUUAUAACACCAACCGCAGGGAAUACCUGCAAGAUUGAUUUCACAUUUCACAAGAUGAUCGUUUAACUUUAAGUUAAAACUCAGGCAGCAGUUAUUGAAAGGCAAACAAAAGGAAUGUAUAGACCUACUAUUAACCCUUUAAACUCAACAUUCAUAUUUAGUUGCACAUAGUUUAGAAAUGAACUUAUGAACUGCCUGACAUGGUACACGCCUCAUUCUCAUGGCUCACUGCCUCGACACUCCAUUUUGUUUUAAACCUUCUUUGAAACUCUCUCUUCUUGGACAUGCUGUGUCACGGCCUAGGUGUGAAUUUCCUGUAUUAGCUGAGAAUGCAGUCACUAGAAUGCCAAAAAGUGUCAUGCCUGUCAAAUGUGAAGAGCUUGAGCUCACAAUCAUCCUCUUAACUGCCUGCUCAUAUUCCAUAGGGUCCUCUCAACAUAAGAAAUCAAGGGAUUCACAGCCAAACUCUUUGAAAUCUCCCUGGUAAUCUCUAUUGCAGAUGGUAACCAUGCCUCGCCUUCCUUUCUUAUCUCAUCAGGAAUCAAAAUCAGUAUAAAAAUUUGAAGCAUUACUAUACAUGUUCAGGCUUUUGUGGCUUUACCUCACAUGCCCAAGGGAGUGAAGGUGGAAGAGCUGAUGAGACUUAAUGGAUUUGAAGAGCUUGAUGCAUUAUGAAUUAUGAUUGCUGUUUUGAGAUAGGCUUCAACUUUUGGUGAGAGAUGGCUAUAGUGGUGCCUAGGAGUAAAGAAUGUUGAAUCUUUUCACAAUAAUAAUAGCAUAAUUCAUUUUAAUAUAGCUAGAACCAGAUUGACAUCAAACAUUAUGAAAAAUGUAUACGUUAAGGGGAAAAAAGUGAAUUAUAGUCAUUAUAGAACACAAAAGCAUAAUAGCUCAUUGCAAUUCAAAAAAAAUCAAUCAUAUGAAAGUGCUUACUAGACAUACCUUUAUAAUGCCUGGUAUCUGACACCAUGCUAAGCUCUAAAGAUUGGAAGAUCUGUCAUUUAAUAUGAAAAGACUUCAUUGUGCAUUAUAACUCAACCCACUGAAGCAGCCACAUUAGGAAGAUCAUCAGAACUAGAUGAGUCCACAAAUAGAUUAUCCUCCAAAUAACCCUUCAUUAAUGAAUGAUUUGUGUCACCUAAGUUUAUAUCAUUGGUAAGUCCAUCAAACAAUAGCAGAUGCAUCACCUCAUUAGGCAUCAACAACAAAUUCCAGAGUUUAAUUAAUCGGUUAAAGAAUGAAGAAGACAGAUGAGACUUGAAUAAAACUUUGGUCAACCUGAAAAAUGUAUUGCAAUCCAGCUGAAUCCCUGCCUCAAUUAUUUCUUGUAGCAACAUUUCGAUCACUUUAAUGUCUCUUUUCACACAAAAACCAUAGAGCAUUAUAUUAUACGUACAUACAUUAGGAGACAAACCAACCUCCUUCAUGUGGUUAUACAAAGCAAAAGCUUCUGCAGCCCUUCCACUCUUAAGAAGCCCACAGAUGGCAACUGUAUAUGAUACAGCAUCUAGUGGGUACUUCUCUGAGAUAGCUCUCCUAAAUAAUUUGAUAGCUCUAUUAUACUUACCAUUUUUCAUAAGCCCAUCUAUGAUUGAGGUAUGAACAUGAGCAUCAAGGCCUGUAUAAUUCAUGACCAUCCCUAGGUAUACUUUAACUGCCUCGUCCACUCUCCUUACUCCACAUAACCCUCUAAGUAAUCCAACAAAGCUGUAGUUAUCAGGCAUAAAACCCUUAUCAAUCAUAUCAUUAUACAACUCCAAAGCAAGAUUCGGAAACCCAGCUUUACACAAGUAAUUUAAAAGUGAGUUGCACACCACCAGAUCUGCUUCCACAACAAGUCCUCUAACCAGCUUGGGUAAAAGAUUAAACCUCCUAGAAAAGCAUAUAGUUGACAACAAAGAACUGAAAGUAUAAGAAUCAGGUACCAAUUUCCAUUUUGACAUACCCAGAAAUAGAUCUAGCGCAUCAUCAUAUCUCCCAAUCUUAGACAAACUAUCUAUCAACACAUUACAGAGAAGUAAGUCAGGAGCAUAACCUUUAGAUUCCAUGGUAUUCAACAUAUCAAAUGCACAAGGAAUCAUUUCAGAUUCCAUAAAACCUUUGAAUAAAGUUGUAUAAGUUACAAUAUUAGGAGAACAACCACUCUUAACCAUCUUCUCCAACAACAAAGAUGCAAUAUCAGGUUGAUGCAAUCUACAAAACCCAUAAAUGAGUAUACUCCAAGCAUUGACAGACAAAGAAAUCCCCAGAGUUAUCAUUACACCCAACACUUGAUAUGCCUCCACUAACCUACCCACUUUGCAAAAACAAUUCAAAACCAUCUCAAAUGUCUCGACGUUAGGAUAAUACCCUUCCUUCAGCAUAAUCCGCAAGACAUCCUUAACAUUAACCAAAUCAUUCAACUUGCAUAAAUUACUCAAUAUAAUACUGAAACUCAAGAAAUUUGGAAUCUCUAUCUGUUUCAAAACCUUAAUUCCUGCAUCCACAUGCCCAAUCUUAAACAAAACAUCUAUCACCACAUUAUGUGCAAAUGUAUUCGGUUUAAAACCAAAAUUUCCCAUUUCCUCAAAAGUUUCGAAAACCAUAGAAUACAUUCUUCCACGCCAAUAAAUCCUCAACAAAAGCAAGAAAGUUUGUGCCUUCGUAAGUAAACCAACACUCUCUAAUUCUUUAACUAUUCCUUUAAGUGUCUUGUAACGGUUAGUCAACCGACCAACCACACUAACCAUGUAAUCAAAUGCUUGGUUAUCAUGAAAGUAAUUAUGUUGCUUCGCACACCAAAUAAAAAAGCUCAAAGCAAUCAAAUCAGAACGGCAAUUCACUAAGGUGGAGUGCACAAUCUGAGGUGUGAAAGCAGCUUUAAGAUUUUCUUGAGAAAAAAAAUGGUGGGUCUUGUCAUUCACACUAAUACAUACGAUUGGUGAUGAAGAAAAAUUGCGGACUGAGAGUGGUUUAAGGAUGUAGGUCCUUUUUAGCAAGUGUAACACGCUCAAUUUGUAUCUCCAUAACAUUAUUAGGCUUGCUUAAAUUGAUAAAAGGGCAAUAAAGGGAACAGGUGCAGGAAACCGACGUCUGCUUACAUUCCUAGAGCUUGACGAUGGAGGAGCUCUCCUGCUAGCUGUUGAGAUGGGGCGAAGUGGUGCUGUGGCGUUAAGCAGUGGUUCUCGCAGUGCUCACGGUCGAGACGCGGAGGGGACUCUCAUAGGAAGCCAGGAACCAAGUGUUGCCAGCAAGCGAAUGAAAGAAGAGAGAAUCGCAUAGGCAGGAAGAGAGGAGAAAACGUUAAGUGAGAGAGGACAAGAAGAGGGGGAAG
RNAcentral lists this unclassified non-coding RNA (3678 nucleotides) under Hevea brasiliensis (rubber tree). Lineage: Eukaryota; Viridiplantae; Streptophyta; Magnoliopsida; Malpighiales; Euphorbiaceae. The record is from RNAcentral.